UCGGGAGUUCAAGCAGCCCAGCGGUCGCUACUCCAUUGACGACGCUUUCA
Molecule: non-coding RNA, 50 nt
Filed under: Chlamydomonas leiostraca
Lineage: Eukaryota; Viridiplantae; Chlorophyta; Chlorophyceae; Chlamydomonadales; Chlamydomonadaceae
Source: RNAcentral